GUAGGGAAUAUUGCGCAAUGGACGAAAGUCUGACGCAGCGACGCCGCGUGAGUGAUGAAGGCCUUAGGGUCGUAAAGCUCUGUUGAAUGGGAAGAAAAAAAUGACGGUACCAUUCGAGGAAGGACCGGCUAACUUCGUGCCAGCAGCCGCGGUAAUACGAGGGGUCCUAGCGUUGUUCGGAAUCAUUGGGCGUAAAGGGUGUGUAGGUGGCCAUGUAAGUCAGGUGUGAAAGCCCCGGGCUCAACCCGGGAAGUGCACUUGAUACUGCUUGGCUUGAGUACCGAAGAGGGUAGUGGAAUUCCAGGUGUAGUGGUGAAAUACGUAGAUAUCUGGAGGAACACCGGUGGCGAAGGCGACUACCUGGUCGAGUACUGACACUGAGACACGAAAGCAUGGGGAUCAAACAGGAUUAGAUACCCUUGUAGUCC
This 428-nucleotide ribosomal RNA is filed under the name uncultured bacterium. Its description in RNAcentral is "partial 16S ribosomal RNA". It matches the Rfam family "Bacterial small subunit ribosomal RNA", at positions 354 to 796 of the family's 1533-position model. The record is from RNAcentral.